RNAcentral lists this ribosomal RNA (499 nucleotides) under uncultured bacterium. RNAcentral's name for it is "partial 16S ribosomal RNA". It matches the Rfam family "Bacterial small subunit ribosomal RNA", at positions 30 to 523 of the family's 1533-position model. The record is from RNAcentral.
AUUGAACGCUGGCGGUAUGCCUCACACAUGCAAGUCGAACGGCAGCACGGGAGCAAUCCUGGUGGCGAGUGGCGAACGGGUGAGUAAAGUAUCGGAACGUGCCCAGUCGUGGGGGAUAACGUAGCGAAAGUUACGCUAAUACCGCAUACGAUCUAUGGAUGAAAGCGGGGGAUCGCAAGACCUUGCGCGAUUGGAGCGGCCGAUAUCAGAUUAGGUAGUUGGUGGGGUAAAGGCUCACCAAGCCGACGAUCUGUAGCUGGUCUGAGAGGACGACCAGCCACACUGGGACUGAGACACGGCCCAGACUCCUACGGGAGGCAGCAGUGGGGAAUUUUGGACAAUGGGCGAAAGCCUGAUCCAGCCAUGCCGCGUGCAGGAUGAAGGCCUUCGGGUUGUAAACUGCUUUGUACGGAACGAAAAGGUUUGGCCUAAUAAGCUGAGCUCAUGACGGUACCGUAAGAAUAAGCACCGGCUAACUACGUGCCAGCCGCCGCCGUAA